CAGUAGCCGCGGUAACACGUAGGUGGCAAGCGUUGUCCGGAAUUAUUGGGCGUAAAGGGCUUGCAGGCGGUUUCUUAAGUCUGAUGUGAAAGCCCCCGGCUCAACCGGGGAGGGCCAUUGGAAACUGGGAAACUUGAGUGCAGAAGAGGAGAGUGGAAUUCCACGUGUAGCGGUGGAAUGCGUAGAGAUGUGGAGGAACACCAGUGGCGAAGGCGACUCUCUGGUCUGUAACUGACGCUGAGGAGCGAAAGCGUGGGGAGCGAACAGGAUUAGAUACCCCCGUAGUCCGUGUCUCUUAUAC
RNAcentral lists this ribosomal RNA (301 nucleotides) under uncultured bacterium. RNAcentral's name for it is "partial 16S ribosomal RNA". It matches the Rfam family "Bacterial small subunit ribosomal RNA", at positions 509 to 807 of the family's 1533-position model. The record is from RNAcentral.